UACGAAGGGGGCUAGCGUUGCUCGGAAUUACUGGGCGUAAAGGGCGUGUAGGCGGGAAGGUAAGUCGGGCGUGAAAUCCCCAAGCUCAACUUGGGAACUGCACUCGAAACUACCUUUCUUGAGUGUCGGAGAGGAAAGCGGAAUUCCUGGUGUAGAGGUGAAAUUCGUAGAUAUCAGGAGGAACACCAGUGGCGAAGGCGGCUUUCUGGACGAUGACUGACGCUGAGACGCGAAAGCGUGGGGAGCAAACAGG
Molecule: ribosomal RNA, 253 nt
Filed under: uncultured bacterium
Lineage: Bacteria
Description: partial 16S ribosomal RNA
Rfam family: Bacterial small subunit ribosomal RNA
Source: RNAcentral